AAUAGCUCACUAGUCGAGUCGGCCUGCGCGGAAGAUGUAACGGGGCUCAAACUGGAUACCGAAGCUGCGGAUGUGCACUUAGUGCACGUGGUAGGGGAGCGUUGUGUAAGUCUGUGAAGGUGUGUUGAGAAGCAUGCUGGAGAUAUCACAAGUGCGAAUGCUGACGUGAGUAACGAUAAUGGGAGUGAAAAACUCCCACGCCGAAAGACCAAGGUUUCCUGCGCAACGCUAAUCGGCGCAGGGUGAGUCGGCCCCUAAGGCGAGGCAGAAAUGCGUAGCUGAUGGGAAACGGGUUAAUAUUCCCGUACUUCUUAUAACUGCGAUGGAGAGACGGAGAAGGCUAUGCCUACCGGGCGUUGGUUGUCCCGGGGAAAGGCUGUAGGCUGAGGUGUUAGGCAAAUCCGGCACCUUAAGGCUGAGAGUCGAGACCACUGGUCCUUUGUGACCGGGAAGUGGUUGAUGCCAUGCUUCCAGGAAAAUCUUCUAAGCUUCAGGUUAUAAGGAACCGUACCCCAAACCGACACAGGUGGUUGGGAUGAGUAUUCUAAGGCGCUUGAGAGAACUCGGGUGAAGGAACUAGGCAAAGUGGUACCGUAACUUCGGGAGAAGGUACGCCGCUGACGGUGAUGAGACUUGCUCUCUGAGCUAUUGGCGGUCGCAGUGAAAAGGCCCCUGCAACUGUUUAUUAAAAACACAGCACUCUGCAAACGCGUAAGCGGACGUAUAGGGUGUGACGCCUGCCCGGUGCCGGAAGGUUAAUUGAUGGGGUUAGCUUCGGCGAAGCUCUUGAUCGAAGCCCCGGUAAACGGCGGCCGUAACUAUAACGGUCCUAAGGUAGCGAAAUUCCUUGUCGGGUAAGUUCCGACCUGCACGAAUGGCGUAAUGAUGGGGGCGCUGUCUCCACCCGAGACUCAGUGAAAUCGAAAUCGCAGUGAAGAUGCUGUGUACCCGCGGCUAGACGGAAAGACCCCGUGAACCUUUACUAUAGCUUCACAGUGGACUUUGAACCUGUUUGUGUAGGAUAGCUGGGAGACUUUGAAGCAGUGACGCUAGUUAUUGUGGAGUCGUCCUUGAAAUACCAGCCUGGCAUGUUUGAGGUUCUAACCUAGGUCCCUUAUCGGGAUCGGGGACAUUGUGUGGUGGGUAGUUUGACUGGGGCGGUCUCCUCCCAAAGAGUAACGGAGGAGCACAAAGGUACCCUCAGCACGGUCGGACAUCGUGCAACGAGCGUAAAGGUAGAAGGGUGCUUGACUGCGAGACCUACAAGUCGAGCAGGUGCGAAAGCAGGUCUUAGUGAUCCGGUGGUUCUGUAUGGAAGGGCCAUCGCUCAACGGAUAAAAGGUACU
This 1346-nucleotide ribosomal RNA is filed under the name seawater metagenome. RNAcentral describes it as "bacterial LSU rRNA". It matches the Rfam family "Bacterial large subunit ribosomal RNA", at positions 1136 to 2467 of the family's 2925-position model. The record is from RNAcentral.